This 245-nucleotide ribosomal RNA is filed under the name uncultured bacterium. RNAcentral's name for it is "partial small subunit ribosomal RNA". It matches the Rfam family "Bacterial small subunit ribosomal RNA", at positions 26 to 285 of the family's 1533-position model. The record is from RNAcentral.
AGAAUCAACGCUGGCGGCGUGCCUAACACAUGCAAGUCGCACGAGAAAGGGAGCAAUCCCUGAGUAAAGUGGCGCACGGGUGAGUAACACGUGAAUAAUCUACCUCCGAGUGGGGAAUAACUGAGAGAAAUCUUAAGCUAAUACCGCAUAACACUUACGAGUCAAAGCAGCAAUGCGCUUGGAGAGGAGUUCGCGGCCGAUUAGUUAGUUGGCGGGGUGAUGGCCCACCAAGACGAUGAUCGGUA